This 660-nucleotide ribosomal RNA is filed under the name uncultured bacterium. RNAcentral describes it as "bacterial SSU rRNA". It matches the Rfam family "Bacterial small subunit ribosomal RNA", at positions 94 to 788 of the family's 1533-position model. The record is from RNAcentral.
AGUGGCGGACGGGUGAGUAACGCGUGAGAAUCUGCCUUGGGGUCGGGGACAACCACUGGAAACGGUGGCUAAUACCGGAUAAGCCGAUUGGUGAAAGAUUUAUUGCCCGAAGAGGAGCUCGCGUCUGAUUAGCUAGUUGGUGAGGUAAGAGCUCACCAAGGCAGCGAUCAGUAGCUGGUCUGAGAGGACGAUCAGCCACACUGGGACUGAGACACGGCCCAGACUCCUACGGGAGGCAGCAGUGGGGAAUUUUCCGCAAUGGGUGAAAGCCUGACGGAGCAAGACCGCGUGAGGGAGGAAGGCUCUUGGGUUGUAAACCUCUUUUCUCAGGGAAGAAGCUCUGACGGUACCUGAGGAAUCAGCCUCGGCUAACUCCGUGCCAGCAGCCGCGGUAAUACGGAGGAGGCAAGCGUUAUCCGGAAUUAUUGGGCGUAAAGCGUCCGCAGGUGGCGAUUCAAGUCUGCUGUCAAAGCACGGGGCUUAACUCCGUAAAGGCAGUGGAAACUGAAUAGCUAGAGUGCCGUAGGGGUAGAGGGAAUUCCCGGUGUAGCGGUGAAAUGCGUAGAGAUCGGGAAGAACAUCGGUGGCGAAAGCGCUCUACUGGACGGCAACUGACACUCAGGGACGAAAGCUAGGGGAGCGAAUGGGAUUAGAUACCCC